This is a long non-coding RNA of Poecile atricapillus (Black-capped chickadee), 279 nucleotides long. RefSeq lists it as uncharacterized. NCBI's taxonomy places the organism in Eukaryota, Metazoa, Chordata, Aves, Passeriformes, Paridae. The record is from RefSeq and is a predicted model, not a curated record. The transcript has 3 exons.
CCGGGGUCCCUCAGGUGUGUCCCCACCCCGCGGUGCCCCUCACCUGUAAUCCUCCCGCGUGGCCACAAGGCUGGAGACGUUCCUGAGGAUGCCACCGCCGCUCUCGAUGAUGGCCAGGGAGUUGCUCUGGCACUUGUAGCACCUUCUUGCUGUUGAUGUCAGCGCGCCAGGAGAGGUUCCUCAGGAUGCUGGAGACCACCUGGAGGGGCAGGGCAGGCCCCUGCGGGAGCACAGCGUGGCCUGCGGGGAGGACGAGGGUGGUGAGGGUGACGCUGUGAC